Molecule: RNA transcript, 1550 nt
Organism: Podarcis raffonei (Aeolian wall lizard)
Lineage: Eukaryota; Metazoa; Chordata; Lepidosauria; Squamata; Lacertidae
Gene: FTCDNL1
Gene name: formiminotransferase cyclodeaminase N-terminal like
Exons: 6
Source: RefSeq, a predicted model, not a curated record
UCCCGGAAGAGGCUCCCAGCAAAGCACUAACCUUCCAAAACUCACGUGGCGUUUGCAGUCUGGGAGGGACAGUCACAGAAAGAAAGAAAAAGUUCCUGUUGUCGGAAGUCUCAGGUUUGUUUUGCCUCCGCGCUUUGCAGAUUUUGGCGCAGUUGCUGCCUGGUCGGAUGCUGCAAACCAGAGAUACUAGUAUUGGUUAAUAGCAAAAUACCCUGAAACUGCUCUGCUAGCCGACCAGGCUUGUUUCCAACAUUGGGCGAAAAUGACUUCUGGCAGAACUGGCUUGCGUCUGGCUGCUUGUUUGCUAAACAUUUCAGAAGGAAGAAGAAAGGACAUUGUUGAGAAAGUAGCAAGAGCUGCGGUUUGUGAGGAUAAUGGCCAGGAGCAUCUCCCAGCAACUGUGCUUAAUAUAUUUUCUGACUAUGACUAUAACAGGUCCGUCAUAACUAUUGCAGCUCCAGUUGACAGACUGGGCAGGUCUGUCGUUGCUGCCUGUGUGGAGGCUUUUGCUUCAAUAGAUAUGGCGGAACAUUCUGGAAUCCACCCUUGCCUUGGUGCAGUAGACCUGGUGCCCAUUUACCCGUUGUCAGGUGUCGAUGUGGAAGAGUGCGGAACAGUGGCUCGAAAUAUAGCAGAGACCCUGGUCUGCCGUGUUCCCGGAUGCAGCAUAUUUCUUUUUGGGCAAGCUCAUCUCCCAGAGAAGCAAAGUCUGGUUCAAAGAAGAAAACAACUGGGAUGGUUUAACCGCAGAGCUUUCAAUGCAGCCACUGUUAUUCCUGAUGUAGGACUGUCGCCUACCUUAAGACACGGUUUAACAGGUAUGAAAUGAUGGCAAUGUUCAUUGUUGCUGUUUUUGUCAUGGGUAAAGGCAAUCAAUGUCUCUAGGACUUCACAGAGGAAUAUAGCCCACUCCCCAGUGGUCUGUGCCCCAAGGAGCUUACAUAUAAAUAUUGAGAAUGGGAGAGAAUGCAGAUAAGAGACAGGUGAGUAUACAAAAAACUGAGAGAGGGAAGAUAGGAAGACUAAUAAGGGAUUAAAGUUGCAUAGGCUUGCUGCCCAGUCUUUGCUUACUUGGAACGUCACAGAGUUCAUUAGAACUUAUUCCCAAGCCAAUUGCACUUGCGUGACUGAAGUCUUAGGCUUUUGAGAUGGGUCUGGGGAAUAAAGUGCCAUUCAAAAGGACUGGGGAGAGGACAACUUGUGGGGGUGUUGAGGAAGAGAGAGCACCAAGAAGCAACAGGAAAUGCAUAGAGUUAUUUAAGAGCAGAAGACCUCGAGGCACCUGGCAGUUUUUUGCUCUUAAUUUGAUGUAGGCUGUGAUAAUAAAUAAUAAUAAUAAAAUUUUAUUUAUAUCCCGCCCUCCCCAGCCGAAGCCGGGCUCAGAGCGGCUAACAACAGUAAAAUAAUACAGCAUUCUAAAAUCAAUUUAUUAUAAAAUCAGUUCAGAUCAAAUUAAUGGCAACCAUUAAUGGUCACAAAUCAAUUAAUCUAUUCCAGCGUAAGCAAUAUUUUGUGUUGUAUCCCUUCAGGUAACUCCAGAACCUUCUUGA